GCACGGCGGCAACGGUUGGAGGCUGCGCGCCA
This 32-nucleotide non-coding RNA is filed under the name Geobacter sulfurreducens KN400. The record is from RNAcentral. Lineage: Bacteria; Pseudomonadati; Thermodesulfobacteriota; Desulfuromonadia; Geobacterales; Geobacteraceae.